Piliocolobus tephrosceles (Ugandan red Colobus) is the source of this 3655-nucleotide long non-coding RNA. RefSeq lists it as uncharacterized. The transcript is spliced from 3 exons. NCBI's taxonomy places the organism in Eukaryota, Metazoa, Chordata, Mammalia, Primates, Cercopithecidae. The record is from RefSeq and is a predicted model, not a curated record.
UAUAUCAGGUAUAACUCCCAAUGCAAUCCCUCCCCCCUACCCCCUCCCCAUGAUAGGCCCCGAUGUGUGAUGUUCCCCUUCCCGAGUCCAAGUGAUGUCAUUGAUGUUUUAUCAAUCUCUAUACAGUCUCUGCUUUCCACUGUGCCUAAACCUCAGUAGUCAUUCAAUGGAUGUGCGCUGCAUUGAGUUUCUAGGCAAUAUAAGGGAGACAACGACUGGCAAAGCAUGGUCAAGAUGCACGAGUAUGAGGACGUGUUAGACAUGACUGUGACCACCAAUGCUGGUGCACUUCUUGCAAGCUUACCAAGGGCUCUUCACCUGCUUCUCAUUUGUAACAAUCGGAAAGUAGAGACGGGAUUUCACCAUGUUGGCCAGACUGGUCUCGAACUCCUAACUUCAAGUGAUCCGCCCACCUCGGCCUCCCAGAGUGCUGGAAUUACAGGCAUGAGUCACCGCACCCAGCCCAAGUCAUCGUUUAGAAAUACUUAUUGAGUGCCUAAGAUGGGCUAGUUCCCUGGCUGAAGCUUCUGUACCUAGUAGGGGCUUAGGAAAUAUGAGAACCCAAAGUUCUGAAGAAACUGGAAUUACCUCCCAGAAGACAAAUGGGAGGCUCCAGGCUCCAGCCGAGGACUGAGAAAACUGCCUGUGUCAUGCAGCUGACGUGUUGAGCUGGCAUGCCACUGCUGCUGCUGUGUGCCUUAUGCAAGUUUCUGGGUGGUCUGCCAGACUCUCUGGAAUCAACAACAAUGCAGGGACCCCCUUCGUAGCUCUUCUGCUUGCCCAGUCUAAUGGCCCUGGCAUUCUAAGUCUGCCCUUUUCCAUACAUUCUUUCCUCCUUUCUGUGCCAGGAUUUCAGUAGAUGAUUUAGAGCGAGCUCCGGGCCAUUUAGCUCAGUCAGAGAUUUGGGUGGAAGUUUCCUCCCAUCCAUCCCAGGCCUCAGAUAGCCCAUGAGGCUAUGACCAGCUCCUGUGAAGGAAGGGGAAGAACAGCUCGUGGAGAUUUUCAGGCACAGAGUAGGAGAAGUUUCCUCAGCUGCUGCAUUUGCCCACUCUAAUCUGGCUGUACACGGCUUGUCAAUAAUAGAUUGGAUGGAAAAUUUAGGACAAAAAAACUCAGGAAGACGUAACUUGCCUACGCAGAGACUGCAAAGGCCCCUGGAGGGUCGCUGGCAGGCUGGAUGAUACAUCGCUGCAAAGAGGGCAGGCGCUGUUUUCUGAAGGGUUUUCUGCCUUGUUCUCUGCCUGUACUUGAGGAAAUGACUGAUCUUCUCCAUUCUGUGGUGUAUUUCGCCCAGAUGAUUUCCAUACUGCUUACUCAUCACCUGGUCAUUUGAGCUGCUGUACGACCAGCCAGCACCUUCAUACAUUCCAAUACCAAGGAUCUGAAACAUGUGGAUUAGAUUUCCCUCAAAACACACAUAAGCUGAAAAGCUAGGGCAGCAAGAGCAAAGCAAGAACACAUCUUACGUUUGGUUAGCUCCACAAAUGCCUCUGCAUUCUCCCAUCCCCAGCUUGAAUAAAUCAGAUAAGCUUCAGCAAAAGCAUCUGAACUUUUUGGAUUCUUUUCUAAAACAAGCCUUUGAACCUGAAGAACUUUGCCUAUCUCUGCGUGUUCCCUCCUCAAAUGUUCAGCUGGGGCUGCCCACUGCACAGCUCAAGCUGGUGAAAUUUAACUCUUUCAUCCACAGAUUAAUUUCCAACCCGUCUGAAGUGACAGUAAACUCAUUAGGCUCAUUUUAAAGAAGACUUGCUAUGAAUGUACCAGCUUAUGCCUGUCUCCACAGACGAAGGACUCCUUCAGGGAACAUAUUAAACUGAGACUAGUGAGAGGUGAUGCCAUUAAAGCAUUGUCAGUUCAGCAGUUUUAGGGUACCAGAGCUGUAGCUGCUUGUCCUUAGCAGGAUUUCAAGAGAAAGCCUUGCCUCCCUCCUCCAGAUCCCCUGUUACCUCCACCCCCUACCAUGGAUGCAUCUUUAAUUGCAGUUCCUUGAGGAAUGCCUUUGGCUUUAUUUAUUACAAGCUGUUAGAAAAUUAUUGGAACACAAAUACUUAUUGCAGUGAACAGAUUUCAGUUGCAAAUGGAUUCAACACAAUUCCUGUGCCGAAGCCCCUGAGGGAACAGGAAUGGAGAUCUCUGGGCUGUGAAAUGAAGCUUGGUCAAGGAUGCUUCCUUCAGAGACUCUGCUCUGAAAACCCAGGAGAGCCAAAAAGUGGAAGGCUAGCAUUUAAAUGAACUCUAAAGAGCAUCUAACCAACCCCUUUGUCUUACAGAGGAAGAAAUCGAGGUUCAGUGGAACCAGCAAGGCUGAGGCUACAAUAGCCAGCCAGCAAUAGGCCUCUGCAACUUCCCAGCCAGGCUUUAUAGCUCUCUUCUAUGCUGUCUUUUAUACCCAGAGAAAGUGAGAUUAAAUAAAGCCAAAAAACUGAUCCUAAGUCCUGGCCUGGAUCCAUGUAUCCUGGCUUUUCAUUAUAGCUUGUCAAUACCUGUCCAUAGAUUGAGUCCAUAGAAAGAUGCUCACCCCACGCCAGAAGAUAGACAAGAAACCUGGAAUCCUUCUGAAACAUUGACUGGAAAUCUUACUCAACGUUAAGAGAUCUUAGUGUAUGUUUACAUGGUAAUACUUCUAGACUGGACAGGCAAUGCUUAAAGAGAAAUCUAUACUCCUUUCCUACUUUAAAUUUCAUUCUCAUUAGCUUUUUUGAUUUUCUUCCUGGUUACUCUCAGCUGCUAUGGAUCCUUAUCAUUGGGAAGUGCAGUUAGUCCACCAUGGAGUUCUCAAAUGAAGUAACUGAUAGCGCAUGAGAAUAUUAGGGCUAGAAGAAAACUUAAUGAUACUCUGGGCCAUAUUCUUCAGUUUACAGUUGAGUACAGUGGGUCUGAGAGAGGUUAAGUGACUUCAGGCAGGGUCACUGGGUACACUACGGACCUCAAAACAUUGAAUUGCCCCACCACGUGAAAGGAGGUUCCUUCAUCUGACAAUGACAAACCACUUCCCUUUGUAAUACUUAGGUGUCUUUUAUGAAUUAUUAAUGGAUUGUCCCCAGUUUUACAGAGCCGAAUGUGUAUUGCAGCCUACUCCUAAGAAAUCCACUGACAUCUGCAUGAGGUAUGGAUCAUGAGUUAUCCUCUGCAUCUCUUGUUUCACAGAAAGACCAGUAAACAGAAGUCAGGGGAAUUUUCCAAGAUGACAUGAUGAGUCAGCAAAGGCUCUGGGGCAACAAGCUGUUACUGGAUGAGGAAUCAGAAGAUACAAAUUCCAGUCUCCACACUGUCUCUAAUCAUGUGGGAGAUCUUGGGCAAGCCACUUCUGUCUCAGGGUCGCAGUUUCUUCACCCGUAGAAGGGGCUUUAGGAUGGCCUCUAAGAACCUUUCAGCUUGCUGUGGCCUAUGGAUCUAGAACACAAGGUUCAGAGCUAUUUCACGUGUAAACUAUGAUUGUGCAAAGCCACAAUGAUACACCCUCAGAAUUCUUAAACUUUAAAGGUUAAAUGGGUUUUGCCUCCAAAAUUGGAAGUGUUUUGGCAAUCUGUAUGCAAAUAAUAAUAGUAGUAACAAUACUUUUUUUUCUUAAAUUUUUUUCAAGCUCUUGGUGAUUGCAGUACUUGUCUGCUUGCAAGGGCAAUCAUAUAACACAACAAACUAAUAACAGACAAUG